This 928-nucleotide long non-coding RNA is filed under the name Helianthus annuus (common sunflower). RNAcentral describes it as "hypothetical non coding rna". Lineage: Eukaryota; Viridiplantae; Streptophyta; Magnoliopsida; Asterales; Asteraceae. The record is from RNAcentral.
GCGGUGCCCACACCCAGUUUUUGACCCGGCAAUGUAAACCUUCUAAAACAAUAACAAAUCCAACAUCCCCUCAUACGCACAAAACUUUACCACGUUUCAAUUGAAGUCGGCAGUGAGCAAUCUUUCUAUGAUAAUUCUUCUACCUUUUCAAUCUUCGUCUAGGUUUAAAUCAUCUGUUUGCGAUAAUCCCUAACUCAAUUUCAUUUUUUGUGAGAAACAAGCCCUCAUCUUCAAUUGGGUCUGAUUUCAUCUUUUGCGACAAAAAGUCUGAUUUGAUUGGAUUCAAUUUCAUCAUUUGCUACGGACAAUCCUAGCAUUCGAUCGGUGCUUCCUUCAUCUUCAAUUUCGCAGAGUUGUUCUCCUUACUAAAAUCGUCUAGCUUAUUCUCCAAAGUACAACGUCUCAAACUACUAAAGCCAUUGCUUGCGUGGUGUAAGAAGCUACAAUGCACAAGUAGUCAAGCACUAAGUAUGAAAAUCAGGUUCUGAGCUUAUGAGAGUGUUUGAAAUCACUUAGCUAAACUGCUUAUCUAAUUAUUUAUGAGAAAAAAUAAGCAGUUUGAAGCUGUGUAUUCCGACUGAUUAUUCAAUAAUCCACAAUGAGUUGAAUGUAACUUGUAAGGUGAAUCAAGCAUCGAUUAUGGUCUUCGGUUGCCUAUUGAUCUAAACAAAUGAACAAAACACUGAUAUAUCCAAUUCCAAUGUUGUAAAAAAGGGUUCGCUUUUUAUUUAAUUUAAUGGUGGAAAACAUACGUGCACGCUUUUUAUCAAGCAUCGAUUAUGGUCUUUUGCCUUUUUUUUCUUUUCAACUCCUCAAAUAAUCUUCGUUGCUGCUAUCUCAUGUGUGCUUUGCAGUUAUGGGAUGCUUUAUCUUAAAGAGUUGUCAUUAGUCUAUGGCAAAGUUGCUUGAAUGCUUGAAUAUUGAAUAA